Molecule: ribosomal RNA, 497 nt
Filed under: uncultured bacterium
Lineage: Bacteria
Description: partial 16S ribosomal RNA
Rfam family: Bacterial small subunit ribosomal RNA
Source: RNAcentral
GACGAACGCUGGCGGCGUGCCUAAUACAUGCAAGUCGAGCGGAAAGACGAGGAGCUUGCGGGGUGGACGAGAGGGGCGGGGGGGAGAGAAACGCGUGGAAAACGUACCUGUAAGAGGGGGAAAAUUAGGGGAAAGGGGAGAAAAUAGCGGAUAAGAUCUUGAAGCGCAGGGGGGAAAAGUGAAAGACGGUGGUGGGGGCAGUAAUAGAUGGAUCCGCGCUGGAUUGGCUAGUUGGUAAGGUAACGGCUUACCAAGGCAACGAUGCAUAGCCGACCUGAGAGGGUGAUCGGCCACCCUGGAACUGAGACACGCUCCAGACUCCUACGGGAGGCAGCAGUCGGGAAUCUUCCGCAAUGGGCGAAAGCCUGACGGAGCAACGCCGCGUGAGUUAUGAAGGUCUUCGGAUCGUAAAACUCUGUUAUUAGGGAAGAACAUAUGUGUAAGUAACUGUGCACAUCUUGACGGUACCUAAUCAGAAAGCCACGGCUAACUACGUG